CGUCCCUCCGCCGAGGGGCGUGGCGCACGGCUGAGUAAUACGCGGCUAACCUGCCCUCGGGAGGGGGGUAACCCCGGGAAACUGGGACUAAUCCCCCCAUAGACGGGGAGGCCUGGAAGGGCUCCCCGUCGAAAAGGGCGCGUAGGGGUUAUCGCUACGCGCUCGCCCGAGGAUGGGGCCGCGUCCCAUCAGGUAGAUGGCGGGGUAAAGGCCCGCCAUGCCUAUAACGGGUAGGGGCCGUGAGAGCGGGAGCCCCCAGAUGGGCACUGAGACAAGGGCCCAGGCCCUACGGGGCGCACCAGGCGGGAAACCUCCGCAAUGCGGGAAACCGUGACGGGGUCACCCCGAGUGCCCUCCUUUGGGAGGGCUUUUCCCCGCUGUAAACAGGCGGGGGCAAUAAGCGGGGGGCAAGUCUGGUGUCAGCCGCCGCGGUAAUACCAGCCCCGCGAGUGGUCGGGACGGUUAUUGGGCCUAAAGCGCCCGUAGCCGGCCUAGCAAGUCUCCGCAGAAAUCCCCGGGCUCAACCCGGGGGCGUGCGGAGAUACUGCUAGGCUAGGGGGCGGGAGAGGCCGGGGGUACUCCCGGGGUAGGGGCGAAAUCCUAUAAUCCCGGGAGGACCACCAGUGGC
Molecule: ribosomal RNA, 628 nt
Filed under: uncultured archaeon
Lineage: Archaea
Description: bacterial SSU rRNA
Rfam family: Archaeal small subunit ribosomal RNA
Source: RNAcentral